This 207-nucleotide ribosomal RNA is filed under the name uncultured bacterium. RNAcentral describes it as "partial 16S ribosomal RNA". It matches the Rfam family "Bacterial small subunit ribosomal RNA", at positions 568 to 774 of the family's 1533-position model. The record is from RNAcentral.
CGUGUAGGCGGUCAGGUAAGUGGGACGUGAAAUGCCUCGGCUCACCCGAGGAGCUGCGUCCCAAACUGCUUGGCUUGAGUAUGGGAGAGGAUGUGGGAAUUCCUGGUGUAGCGGUGAAAUGCGUAGAUAUCAGGAGGAACACCGGUGGCGAAGGCGCACAUCUGGCCCAAUACUGACGCUGAGGCGCGAAGGCUAGGGGAGCAAACG